CCUACGGGAGGCAGCAGUGGGGAAUCUUCCGCAAUGGACGAAAGUCUGACGGAGCAACGCCGCGUGAGUGAUGAAGGCUUUCGGGUCGUAAAACUCUGUUGUUAGGGAAGAACAAGUGCUAGUUGAAUAAGCUGGCACCUUGACGGUACCUAACCAGAAAGCCACGGCUAACUACGUGCCAGCAGCCGCGGUAAUACGUAGGUGGCAAGCGUUAUCCGGAAUUAUUGGGCGUAAAGCGCGCGCAGGUGGUUUCUUAAGUCUGAUGUGAAAGCCCACGGCUCAACCGUGGAGGGUCAUUGGAAACUGGGAGACUUGAGUGCAGAAGAGGAAAGUGGAAUUCCAUGUGUAGCGGUGAAAUGCGUAGAGAUAUGGAGGAACACCAGUGGCGAAGGCGACUUUCUGGUCUGUAACUGACACUGAGGCGCGAAAGCGUGGGGAGCAAACAGGAUUAGAUACCCUGGUAGUCCACGCCGUAAACGAUGAGUGCUAAGUGUUAGAGGGUUUCCGCCCUUUAGUGCUGAAGUUAACGCAUUAAGCACUCCGCCUGGGGAGUACGGCCGCAAGGCUGAAACUCAAAUGAAUUGACGGA
Molecule: ribosomal RNA, 589 nt
Filed under: uncultured bacterium
Lineage: Bacteria
Description: bacterial SSU rRNA
Rfam family: Bacterial small subunit ribosomal RNA
Source: RNAcentral